UGGGGAAUUUUGGACAAUGGGCGAAAGCCUGAUCCAGCAAUGCCGCGUGUGUGAAGAAGGCCUUCGGGUUGUAAAGCACUUUUGUCCGGAAAGAAAUCCUUGGCUCUAAUACAGUCGGGGGAUGACGGUACCGGAAGAAUAAGCACCGGCUAACUACGUGCCAGCAGCCGCGGUAAUACGUAGGGUGCAAGCGUUAAUCGGAAUUACUGGGCGUAAAGCGUGCGCAGGCGGUUUGCUAAGACCGAUGUGAAAUCCCCGGGCUCAACCUGGGAACUGCAUUGGUGACUGGCAGGCUAGAGUAUGGCAGAGGGGGUAGAAUUCCACGUGUAGCAGUGAAAUGCGUAGAGAUGUGGAGGAAUACCGGUGGCGAAGGCAGCCCCCUGGGCCAAUACUGACGCUCAUGCACGAAAGCGUGGGGAGCAAACAGGAUUAGAUACCCUGGUAGUCCACGCCCUAAACGAUGUCAACUAGUUGUUGGGGAUUCAUUUCCUUAGUAACGUAGCUAACGCGUGAAGUUGACCGCCUGGGGAGUACGGUCGCAAGAUUAAAACUUAAAGGAAUUGACGGGGUC
This 571-nucleotide ribosomal RNA is filed under the name uncultured bacterium. Its description in RNAcentral is "partial 16S ribosomal RNA". It matches the Rfam family "Bacterial small subunit ribosomal RNA", at positions 355 to 920 of the family's 1533-position model. The record is from RNAcentral.